RNAcentral lists this ribosomal RNA (253 nucleotides) under uncultured bacterium. RNAcentral describes it as "partial 16S ribosomal RNA". It matches the Rfam family "Bacterial small subunit ribosomal RNA", at positions 524 to 776 of the family's 1533-position model. The record is from RNAcentral.
UACGUAGGUGGCAAGCGUUGUCCGGAUUUAUUGGGUUUAAAGGGUGCGUGGGCGGCUUAAUAAGUCAGUGGUGAAAGCCGAUCGCUUAACGAUCGAACUGCCAUUGAUACUGCUAGGCUUGAGUAUAGUUGAGGUAGGCGGAAUUGACAGUGUAGCGGUGAAAUGCAUAGAUAUUGUCAAGAACACCAAUUGCGAAGGCAGCUUACUACACAGCGAUUGACGCUGAGGCACGAAAGCGUGGGGAGCAAACAGG